Paenibacillus dendritiformis C454 is the source of this 84-nucleotide regulatory RNA element. It matches the Rfam family "ZMP/ZTP riboswitch aptamer (pfl RNA motif)". From Rfam's summary of the family: Previously known as pfl RNA. The record is from Rfam. Lineage: Bacteria; Bacillati; Bacillota; Bacilli; Caryophanales; Paenibacillaceae.
GGCACUCGGUGUAACUGGCGACGGAAGUGGGAGAACCACGGUGGAGCAUCGAGUGAUAUACGGCCGGUCGCCUGGGCGAAAGAG